Long non-coding RNA from Esox lucius (northern pike), 1382 nucleotides. Lineage: Eukaryota; Metazoa; Chordata; Actinopteri; Esociformes; Esocidae. The record is from Ensembl.
AAUGAAGGAGAGAUGUAUUAAGGUAGCAUGUGCAUCUGGGAUGUAGAGAUAGCAGCAAUGUGGUCCUGAGGUAAACGUGUGGUAACAACUGUAAAAAUGCAAGCAAAAUGGCAAGUCUUAAUGAGCAAAGAGGCAAAUUGAAUGUACAAGGUGAACGUGCAACUGAAAUGCAGGCAUAGCAGCGGUGAGGUACCUGAGAAUUCACCAACAGAGUCGGAGAACGGAGGGACCUGCACCCGCUGGACCAGAACCUGCCCCAGGCGGAGUGGGUGUUGCUGAAGGUCAUCAAGCGAAAGUGGUCGGAGCCAAGGUGGACGGGUCCUCAUCAGGUGGUGGAGAGAACGAGUCAUGCGGUCCGCCUGAGGGACAAAGGAGAGACGUGGUACCAUUGGAGCCAGUGUACACCAGCGCAGGAGCCAGGGAGGUCGCUGACGGACCUCAUCCAAACCGGAAAGGAGGAGCUUUCCCCAGCGUGGACGGAAGGAGGACCAACACCAGCCGGACCGGUGCCAGGAGCGGACCACAGGACACAGCAGGACCACGAGCGAGUGAAGGAGACAGAGGACGGCGCCAGGGGAAUAGACUCUUAGGGGAAAGAACUGAAAAAUACUGUAACUAAAGGGGGUAUAGGACACCGAGUGGCUCAUACCACUCGUACCAAGAUGACAGGGUUACAGAGAAAGGUCUGGGGAGAUGAUAGUAGAAUGAAGUAGUAUAUGGGAAUUGGUAGAAUAAUGAUAUGUGUGUUGUGUGUUGAUACAAGUUUCCCAGGUUGGCAUCGGGUCUUCAUUCCCCCAGCGAAGAGGUCAGCGACCCCACCUGAGGACACCUGCUUGAGGAAAUUUGGGGGAUUGAAUUGGACUAUGUCAAGGGGUCGCAUACGAGCAUUCUGGGAUAGAUAAUCCGCUGGAGGAAUGGCUGACCUCGAUGUUCGGCCAGUGGAAAGGUUUGAUAAUGUCUGUUCUUUUAUCGCUUUCUACAUUUGGUGCUAUGAUGGUUACUUGUGGGUGUUGUUGUAUCCCAUGCAUAAGAGGGCUUGCCAUGAGAGUGAUUUCUACAGCCAUUGAGAAGGCUCCAGGAUCGACACCAGGGAUGCUGAUGCCUCUACUGGAGCAGCAUGACCCGGGAGAACUGGAGCUUGGCGAAUAGGGGUGAUCUCUCUGGGGAGAGAUCAAAAGGGGGAAUUGUAGAUGUAGUGAUUGUAUAAGUUAGUGAACUGUUAUAAGCUGUUGUAACCAAUGUAGAUGUAUUGAUUAUAUAAGUUAGUGAACUGUUAUAAGCUGUUGUAACCAAUGAAACAAAAUAUUAAAUGUCUGUAAUAUGAACCGAAACUGAAGGAGCAAGUAGGAGAAUAGGAAACCCUGUUUAAGCAGUUGCCGGGG